UACGUAGGGACCAAGCGUUGUUCGGAUUUACUGGGCGUAAAGGGCGCGUAGGCGGCGCAAUAAGUCACUUGUGAAAUCUCCGGGCUUAACUCGGAGCGGCCAAGUGAUACUGUUGUGCUAGAGUGCAGAAAGGGCAAUCGGAAUUCUCGGUGUAGCGGUGAAAUGCGUAGAUAUCGGGAGGAACACCGGUGGCGAAGGCGGUUCUCUGGGCCUUACCUGACGCUGAGGAGCGAAAGCGUGGGGAGCGAACAGG
This 253-nucleotide ribosomal RNA is filed under the name uncultured bacterium. Its description in RNAcentral is "partial 16S ribosomal RNA". It matches the Rfam family "Bacterial small subunit ribosomal RNA", at positions 524 to 776 of the family's 1533-position model. The record is from RNAcentral.